This 253-nucleotide ribosomal RNA is filed under the name uncultured bacterium. RNAcentral's name for it is "partial 16S ribosomal RNA". It matches the Rfam family "Bacterial small subunit ribosomal RNA", at positions 524 to 776 of the family's 1533-position model. The record is from RNAcentral.
UACGUAGGGCGCAAGCGUUGUCCGGAAUUAUUGGGCGUAAAGAGCUCGUAGGCGGCCUGUUACGUCUGCUGUGAAAUCCCGGGGCUUAACCCCGGGCGUGCAGUGGAUACGGGCAGGCUGGAGGCAGGCAGGGGAGAACGGAAUUCCCGGUGUAGCGGUGAAAUGCGCAGAUAUCGGGAGGAACACCGGUGGCGAAGGCAGCUCGCUGGGACGGUACUGACGCUGAGACGCGAAAGCGUGGGGAGCAAACAGG